UACGGAGGGUGCGAGCGUUGUCCGGAAUCACUGGGCGUAAAGGGCGCGUAGGCGGCGCGGGAAGUCAUCGGUGAAAGCUCAGGGCUCAACUCUGAGUCGGCCGGUGAUACUCUCGUGCUUGAGCACUGUAGAGGCAGGUGGAAUUCCGGGUGUAGCGGUGGAAUGCGCAGAUAUCAGGAAGAACACCUAUGGCGAAGGCAGCUCUCUGGGACGGUACUGACGCUGAGACGCGAAAGCGUGGGGAGCGAACAGG
RNAcentral lists this ribosomal RNA (253 nucleotides) under uncultured bacterium. Its description in RNAcentral is "partial 16S ribosomal RNA". It matches the Rfam family "Bacterial small subunit ribosomal RNA", at positions 524 to 776 of the family's 1533-position model. The record is from RNAcentral.